GAUGAACGCUGGCGGCGUGCCUAAUACAUGCAAGUCGAGCGAACAGACGAGGAGCUUGCUCCUCUGACGUUAGCGGCGGAAGGGUGAGUAACACGUGGAUAACCUACCUAUAAGACUGGGAUAACUUCGGGAAACCGGAUCUAAUACCGGAUAAUAUAUUGAACCGCAUGGUUCAAUAGUGAAAGACGGUUUUGCUGUCACUUAUAGAUGUAUCCGCGCCGCAUUAGCUAGUUGGUAAGGUAACGGCUUACCAAGGCAACGAUGCGUAGCCGACCUGAGAGGGUGAUCGGCCACACUGGAACUGAGACACGGUCCAGACUCCUACGGGAGGCAGCAGUAGGGAAUCUUCCGCAAUGGGCGAAAGCCUGACGGAGCAACGCCGCGUGAGUGAUGAAGGUCUUCGGAUCGUAAAACUCUGUUAUUAGGGAAGAACAAAUGUGUAAGUAACUAUGCACGUCUUGACGGUACCUAAUCAGAAAGCCACGGCUAACUACGUG
RNAcentral lists this ribosomal RNA (497 nucleotides) under uncultured bacterium. RNAcentral describes it as "partial 16S ribosomal RNA". It matches the Rfam family "Bacterial small subunit ribosomal RNA", at positions 28 to 507 of the family's 1533-position model. The record is from RNAcentral.